Molecule: long non-coding RNA, 425 nt
Organism: Crotalus tigris (Tiger rattlesnake)
Lineage: Eukaryota; Metazoa; Chordata; Lepidosauria; Squamata; Viperidae
Exons: 2
Source: RefSeq, a predicted model, not a curated record
GCCCCUUUUACCCCUCCUUCUUUCGUCGCGUCCCGCACAUUCGCCGGGAGACAAAGUCGGCGAAGGGAUCGCUGCGCUCGUAGCAGCUGAGCUGCUUGCUUUCCCCGCUUGGCCGGCGAGAAGCAGCGGUGGCUAGAGGCGGUGGCGGCUUCCACAGCGGCUGCGUGAGAAGACAACGGCGUGCUGGCAAAGAAAACCGCCGGGCCCGGCCCAUUAUGGCCCCUGCGACGACCGCGGCGGGAGAAGCAGGUGUCUAUGGCCGGCGGCUGCCCCUCCACUGCCGUCUGCCUGCCUCUUUGCCUGCCUGAGGAGAGCCGGAUAACCGCGCAGGGAAUCCAGAGGUCUGCCAAGAGCGCGCACUUCUGGCCUGUAUGGGGGAAGGGGAGAAUAAAAGUGGCGGAGAAUUCCCCACAUUUUGAAUGAUU